AACAUGUAAGUUAUUUUGCAGCUAGUUUCUGCAAUUCAACACCCGUCCAUCUGUUGCACUUAAUGUUAUGGGUGGAUGGGAGAUCAAUUCGGCGUAGAUUUGCGUCAAGAAAUUGUCACGUCGGGAGUGUUUAAAGCGCACUUCACCAUGAUGAUUAUCGUGGAGUGAUGCUGUUUGCUCCAUCAUUAUUUUGGAUGACUCUUGGCAAUGGAUAUCUUGGCUCUUGCAUCGAUGAAGAACAUAGCGAAAUGUGAUACAUGGUGCGAAUUGCAGAAUCCCGUGAACCAUCGAGGUUUUGAAUGCAAGUUGCGCCAAAGGCCAGCAGGUCAAGGGCACGUCUGCUUGGGAGUCAAAAUAACUCAUCGCUCUGUUUAACAUCAAACCAUCACUAUAAUUUGAUGACCUUUUUUUUAAAUGGAAGCGGAGAAUGUCCUGUCGCGUGCAUGGUGCUGCAGGAUUAAGAGUGGGUUGCUUUCUUCUUCGCGAUGAUCGAUAAUUUGGUGGUGGUAGUCCAUGCAUGGCCUUCAAAAUUGUACGAUUAUCGGAGGAAGAUGAUUGUUAAAAAACUCAGUUACGGCGUUGUUUGUGACUCAUCGAUAUGCGACCCCAAGACAGGUGAGGUAACCCGCUGAAUUUAAGCAUAUAAAUAA
Molecule: ribosomal RNA, 650 nt
Filed under: Disperis oppositifolia
Lineage: Eukaryota; Viridiplantae; Streptophyta; Magnoliopsida; Asparagales; Orchidaceae
Description: eukaryotic LSU rRNA
Rfam family: 5.8S ribosomal RNA (bases 197-352)
Source: RNAcentral